GCUUCCUUGGCUCAGCUGGUUAGAGCGCCGGUCUCAUAUAAUGACCACUGUCCGAGUGGGGAAUCCGGAGAUCGCCAGUUCGAUCCUGGCAGGGAGCA
Transfer RNA from Neolentinus lepideus HHB14362 ss-1, 98 nucleotides. It matches the Rfam family "tRNA". Rfam says of the family: Transfer RNA (tRNA) molecules are approximately 80 nucleotides in length. Their secondary structure includes four short double-helical elements and three loops (D, anti-codon, and T loops). The record is from Rfam. Lineage: Eukaryota; Fungi; Basidiomycota; Agaricomycetes; Gloeophyllales; Gloeophyllaceae.